AACGAACGCUGGCGGCAUGCCUAACACAUGCAAGUCGAACGACACCACCGGGUCUAGUGGCGCACGGGUGCGUAGCGCGGGGGACCCGGCCCUUAGAUUCGGAAUAACUCCCCGACAGGGGUGCUAAUACCGGAAAAUGUAUUCGGACCAAAGAUUGAUCGCGCUGGGUUGGGCACGCGUUGGAUUAGCCAGGUGGUAGGGUAAAAGCCUACCAAGGGGACGCUCCAUAGCUGGGCUGAGAGGAUGAUCCGCCACUCUGGGACUGGGACACGGUCCAGAAUCUUACGCGAUGCGGCAGUGGGGAAUAUUGGCCAACGGGCUAAAUCCUGAACCGCUACUGGCGCUUGAGUGAUGAAGUCGUUAGAGUUGUAAAGCACUUUUACCCGGGAUUAUUAUGACGGUACCGGGAGAAUAAGCUCCGGCUAACUCCGUG
This 433-nucleotide ribosomal RNA is filed under the name uncultured bacterium. RNAcentral's name for it is "partial 16S ribosomal RNA". It matches the Rfam family "Bacterial small subunit ribosomal RNA", at positions 29 to 507 of the family's 1533-position model. The record is from RNAcentral.